This 253-nucleotide ribosomal RNA is filed under the name uncultured bacterium. RNAcentral describes it as "partial 16S ribosomal RNA". It matches the Rfam family "Bacterial small subunit ribosomal RNA", at positions 524 to 776 of the family's 1533-position model. The record is from RNAcentral.
UACGAAGGGUGCAAGCGUUACUCGGAAUUACUGGGCGUAAAGCGUGCGUAGGCGGUUAGUUAAGUCUGUCGUGAAAGCCCCGGGCUCAACCUGGGAGUGGCGAUGGAUACUGGCUAGCUAGAGUGUGUCAGAGGAUGGUGGAAUUCCCGGUGUAGCGGUGAAAUGCGUAGAGAUCGGGAGGAACAUCCGUGGCGAAGGCGACUACCUGGACCAGCACUGACACUGAGGCACGAAAGCGUGGGGAGCAAACAGG